UAGGGAAUCUUCCGCAAUGGGCGAAAGCCUGACGGAGCAACGCCGCGUGAGUGAUGAAGGUCUUCGGAUCGUAAAACUCUGUUAUUAGGGAAGAACAAAUGUGUAAGUAACUAUGCACAUCUUGACGGUACCUAAUCAGAAAGCCACGGCUAACUACGUGCCAGCAGCCGCGGUAAUACGUAGGUGGCAAGCGUUAUCCGGAAUUAUUGGGCGUAAAGCGCGCGUAGGCGGUUUUUUAAGUCUGAAGUGAAAGCCCACGGCUCAACCGUGGAGGGUCAUUGGAAACUGGAAAACUUGAGUGCAGAAGAGGAAAGUGGAAUUCCAUGUGUAGCGGUGAAAUGCGCAGAGAUAUGGAGGAACACCAGUGGCGAAGGCGACUUUCUGGUCUGUAACUGACGCUGAUGUGCGAAAGCGUGGGAAUCAAACAGG
RNAcentral lists this ribosomal RNA (429 nucleotides) under Bacteroidota bacterium. Its description in RNAcentral is "Bacteroidetes bacterium partial 16S ribosomal RNA". It matches the Rfam family "Bacterial small subunit ribosomal RNA", at positions 355 to 776 of the family's 1533-position model. The record is from RNAcentral. Lineage: Bacteria; Pseudomonadati; Bacteroidota.